UACGGGGGGGGCAAGCGUUGUUCGGAAUUACUGGGCGUAAAGGGCUCGUAGGUGGCCAACUAAGUCAGACGUGAAAUCCCUCGGCUUAACCGGGGAACUGCGUCUGAUACUGGAUGGCUUGAGUUUGGGAGAGGGACGCGGAAUUCCAGGUGUAGCGGUGAAAUGCGUAGAUAUCUGGAGGAAUACCGGUGGCGAAGGCGGCAUCCUGGACCGGCAUUGACGCUGAGGCGCGAAAGCCAGGGGAGCAAACGGG
Molecule: ribosomal RNA, 253 nt
Filed under: uncultured bacterium
Lineage: Bacteria
Description: partial 16S ribosomal RNA
Rfam family: Bacterial small subunit ribosomal RNA
Source: RNAcentral